Gorilla gorilla gorilla (western lowland gorilla) is the source of this 2307-nucleotide RNA transcript. It is a transcript of the gene named formimidoyltransferase cyclodeaminase, with no coding region annotated. The record is from RefSeq and is a predicted model, not a curated record. The transcript has 16 exons. NCBI's taxonomy places the organism in Eukaryota, Metazoa, Chordata, Mammalia, Primates, Hominidae.
GAGGCCUCGUCAGGACAGGAUUCCAGCCAGGCUGGCCUGAUGCUCCUGGGGGUCCUCAGCACACGCCCCUUCGCCUCGGCAUGUGCUUCUUUUCCGGGAACCCACACUCUGACUGAGUGGAGCCAUCCCCUCUGGGUCAACAGCACGCGGGGUAGCUCUGCAGCGCCCCACUCCGCUGCUGCACAGGGACCGUGGCCCCAGUGCUCCUUGUGCCUUGCUGGUUAAUGAGAAGCCGGUGGGGAGGUGCUGCCGGUGAGCGUAUAAAGGCCCUGGCGGCGGCUGCGGAGCACUGGCCCUGUCCUUCCAUCUGCCCAGAGAGGAGCAUCCGGAUCAAGGUGCUGGCCAUGUCCCAGCUGGUGGAAUGCGUCCCCAACUUUUCGGAGGGGAAGAACCAGGAGGUGAUCGACGCCAUCUCUGGAGCCAUCACACAGACCCUGGGCUGCGUGCUGCUGGAUGUGGACGCAGGCCCUUCCACCAACCGCACCGUGUACACCUUCGUGGGGCCGCCAGAGUGCGUGGUGGAGGGGGCCCUCAACGCUGCCCGGGUAGCUUCCCGACUUAUCGACAUGAGCAGGCACCAAGGAGAGCACCCCCGCAUGGGGGCCCUAGACGUCUGCCCCUUCAUCCCCGUGAGGGGCGUCAGCAUGGACGAGUGUGUGCUCUGCGCCCGGGCCUUUGGCCAGAGGCUGGCAGAGGAGCUGGACGUGCCAGUUUACCUGUACGGCGAGGCGGCCAGGAUGGACAGUCGCCGGACCCUGCCAGCCAUCCGGGCUGGGGAGUACGAGGCCCUCCCUAAGAAGCUCCAGCAGGCCGACUGGGCGCCCGACUUUGGGCCCAGCUCCUUUGUCCCCAGUUGGGGGGCCACGGCCACGGGGGCGAGGAAGUUCCUCAUUGCUUUUAACAUCAACCUGCUCGGCACAAAGGAGCAAGCCCACCGCAUCGCACUCAACCUGCGGGAGCAGGGCCGCGGGAAGGACCAGCCAGGACGUCUGAAGAAGGUUCAGGGCAUUGGCUGGUACCUGGAUGAGAAGAACCUGGCUCAGGUGUCCACCAAUCUUCUGGACUUUGAGGUCACGGCACUGCACACGGUCUACGAGGAGACCUGCCGAGAAGCACAGGAGCUGAGCCUCCCAGUGGUGGGCUCACAGCUGGUGGGCCUGGUGCCCCUGAAGGCUCUGCUGGAUGCGGCCGCCUUCUACUGCGAGAAGGAGAACCUCUUCAUCCUGGAGGAGGAGCAGCGGAUCAGGCUGGUGGUGAGCCGGCUGGGCCUGGACUCCCUGUGCCCCUUCAGCCCUAAGGAGCGGAUCAUCGAGUACCUGGUCCCUGAGCGCGGGCCUGAGCGAGGCCUGGGCAGCAAGUCCCUGCGCGCCUUCGUGGGGGAGGUGGGUGCCCGCUCUGCGGCCCCCGGGGGCGGCUCGGUGGCGGCGGCCGCUGCGGCCAUGGGUGCGGCGCUGGGCUCCAUGGUGGGCCUCAUGACCUACGGGCGGCGCCAAUUCCAGUCCCUGGACGCGACGAUGCGGCGCCUGAUCCCGCCCUUCCGCGAGGCUUCGGCCAAGCUAAUCACGCUGGUGGAUGCCGACGCCGAGGCCUUCGCCGCCUACCUGGAAGCAAUGAGGCUGCCCAAGAACACACCUGAGGAAAAGGACAGGCGCACGGCGGCCCUACAGGAGGGGCUGAGGCGGGCAGUCUCUGUGCCGCUGACGCUGGCGGAGACGGUGGCCUCGCUAUGGCCGGCGCUGCAGGAACUGGCCCGGUGUGGGAACCUGGCCUGCCGAUCAGACCUCCAGGUGGCGGCCAAAGCCCUGGAGAUGGGCCUGUUUGGCGCAUAUUUCAACGUGCUCAUCAACCUGAGGGACAUCACAGACGAGGCAUUUAAGGACCAGAUCCACCAUCGUGUUUCCAGCCUCCUGCAGGAAGCCAAGACCCAGGCUGCACUGGUGCUGGACUGCUUGGAGACCCGGCAGGAGUGAUGAAACCCCAGGGACAGCAGGACCUUCGACGCUGGAAGGAUAGCCUCGCUUCCCAGGUGCAGCUCCCGGCAGGUCCGGACAGUUCCACAGAGCACGAUGGACUAUUACAUGUGACAGACAACGUAUGAAUGUAUUUGUUAGUCAGCACUGCAGGAUAUUAAAAAGAAGAUUACUGUGUCCUUGAGGGAAGCAGAAAACUCAAAUGCCUUAUUGGAGAGAUUUCCCAUUCUGAAAAUAGAACAUACUUGUUCGUGAAAAAAGAUGUCAUCAUCCAAGACAAAUGACAAGAAUCCUACAGGGAGAAAAAACACCCAAGGUGUGUGUGGGUACAGGGCCA